Molecule: ribosomal RNA, 483 nt
Filed under: uncultured bacterium
Lineage: Bacteria
Description: partial 16S ribosomal RNA
Rfam family: Bacterial small subunit ribosomal RNA
Source: RNAcentral
GACGAACGCUGGCGGCGUGCUUAACACAUGCAAGUCGAACGCUGAAGCUCAGCUUUUGUUGGGUGGAUGAGUGGCGAACGGGUGAGUAACACGUGAGUAACCUGCCCCCUUCUUUGGGAUAACGCCCGGAAACGGGUGCUAAUACUGGAUAUUCACUGGUCUUCGCAUGGGGGUUGGUGGAAAGGGUUGUUUUGGUGGGGGAUGGGCUCGGGGCCUAUCAGCUUGUUGGUGGCGUGAUGGCCUACCAAGGCUUUGACGGGUAGGCGGCCUGAUAGGGUGAACGGUCACAUUGAGACUGAGAUACGGCCCAGACUCGUACGGGAGGCAGCAGUGGGGAAUAUGGCACAAUGGGCGCACGCCUGAUGCAGCGACGCUGCGUGAGGGCUGGAGUCCUUCAGAUUGUGUACCUCUUUCGGUCAUGGUCAAGCCGCAACAAUGGUUGUGGUGAGGGUAGUGAGUAAAGAAGCGCCGGCUAACUACGUG